Molecule: microRNA precursor, 206 nt
Organism: Oryza rufipogon (brownbeard rice)
Lineage: Eukaryota; Viridiplantae; Streptophyta; Magnoliopsida; Poales; Poaceae
Rfam family: MIR812 microRNA precursor family
Source: Rfam
AAAAAGACAAACCCUGGAUUUCCGUGUCCAACUUUGACUGUCUGUCUUAUAUGAAAUAUUUUUAUAAUCCGUAUUUUCGUUGUUGUUAGAUGAUAAAAUAUGAUUAAUAUUUUUAUGCGUGACUUGUCUUUUUAAUUUUUUCAUAAUUUUUUCAAAUAAGACAGACGGUUAAACAUUUGGCAUGGAAACCAAGGUUUGUCUUUUUU